Molecule: ribosomal RNA, 253 nt
Filed under: uncultured bacterium
Lineage: Bacteria
Description: partial 16S ribosomal RNA
Rfam family: Bacterial small subunit ribosomal RNA
Source: RNAcentral
UACGAAGGGGGCUAGCGUUGCUCGGAAUCACUGGGCGUAAAGCGCACGUAGGCGGAUUGCUAAGUCAGGGGUGAAAUCCUGGGGCUCAACCUCAGAAUUGCCUCCGAUACUGGCAGUCUCGAGUGCGGGAGAGGUGAGUGGAAUUCCCAGUGUAGAGGUGAAAUUCGUAGAUAUUGGGAAGAACACCAGUGGCGAAGGCGGCUCACUGGCCCGUAACUGACGCUGAGGUGCGAAAGCGUGGGGAGCAAACAGG